AUUUAACUGACGAAUCCCAAAUAGGACGAAAUGAGAGUGUUUAAU
RNAcentral lists this non-coding RNA (45 nucleotides) under Trichobilharzia regenti. The record is from RNAcentral. Lineage: Eukaryota; Metazoa; Platyhelminthes; Trematoda; Strigeidida; Schistosomatidae.